CAGUCGCCACGGGAACACGUAGGGUGCAAGCGUUAAUCGGAAUUACUGGGCGUAAAGCGUGCGCAGGCGGUUAUAUAAGACAGAUGUGAAAUCCCCGGGCUCAACCUGGGAACUGCAUUUGUGACUGUAUAGCUAGAGUACGGCAGAGGGGGAUGGAAUUCCGCGUGUAGCAGUGAAAUGCGUAGAUAUGCGGAGGAACACCGAUGGCGAAGGCAAUCCCCUGGGCCUGUACUGACGCUCAUGCACGAAAGCGUGGGGAGCAAACAGGAUUAGAUACCCCCGUAGUCCCUGUCUCUUAUAC
Molecule: ribosomal RNA, 301 nt
Filed under: uncultured bacterium
Lineage: Bacteria
Description: partial 16S ribosomal RNA
Rfam family: Bacterial small subunit ribosomal RNA
Source: RNAcentral